RNAcentral lists this ribosomal RNA (401 nucleotides) under uncultured prokaryote. RNAcentral's name for it is "bacterial SSU rRNA". It matches the Rfam family "Bacterial small subunit ribosomal RNA", at positions 355 to 774 of the family's 1533-position model. The record is from RNAcentral.
UGGGGAAUAUUGCACAAUGGGCGAAAGCCUGAUGCAGCAACGCCGCGUGAGCGAUGAAGGCCUUCGGGUCGUAAAGCUCUGUCCUCAAGGAAGAUAAUGACGGUACUUGAGGAGGAAGCCCCGGCUAACUACGUGCCAGCAGCCGCGGUAAUACGUAGGGGGCUAGCGUUAUCCGGAAUUACUGGGCUUAAAGGGUGCGUAGGUGGUUUCUUAAGUCAGAGGUGAAAGGCUACGGCUCAACCGUAGUAAGCCUUUGAAACUGGGAAACUUGAGUGCAGGAGAGGAGAGUGGAAUUCCUAGUGUAGCGGUGAAAUGCGUAGAUAUUAGGAGGAACACCAGUUGCGAAGGCAACUCACAAAGCCAUUAUUGACGCUGAGGCACGAAAGUGUGGGGAUCAAACA